AUUGAACGCUGGCGGCAGGCCUAACACAUGCAAGUCGAACGGUAACAGGAAGCAGCUUGCUGCUUUGCUGACGAGUGGCGGACGGGUGAGUAAUGUCUGGGAAACUGCCUGAUGGAGGGGGAUAACUACUGGAAACGGUAGCUAAUACCGCAUAACGUCGCAAGACCAAAGAGGGGGACCUUAGGGCCUCUUGCCAUCGGAUGUGCCCAGAUGGGAUUAGCUAGUAGGUGGGGUAACGGCUCACCUAGGCGACGAUCCCUAGCUGGUCUGAGAGGAUGACCAACCACACGGGAACUGAGACACGGUCCAGACUCCUACGGGAGGCAGCAGUGGGGAAUAUUGCACAAUGGGCGCAAGCCUGAUGCAGCCAUGCCGGGUGUAUGAAGAAGGCCUUAUGGUUGUAAAGUACUUUCAGCGGGGAGGAAGGGAGUAAAGUUAAUACCUUUGCUCAUUGACGUUACCCGCAGAAGAAGCACCGGCUAACUCCGUG
RNAcentral lists this ribosomal RNA (490 nucleotides) under uncultured bacterium. RNAcentral's name for it is "partial 16S ribosomal RNA". It matches the Rfam family "Bacterial small subunit ribosomal RNA", at positions 30 to 507 of the family's 1533-position model. The record is from RNAcentral.